RNAcentral lists this ribosomal RNA (253 nucleotides) under uncultured bacterium. Its description in RNAcentral is "partial 16S ribosomal RNA". It matches the Rfam family "Bacterial small subunit ribosomal RNA", at positions 524 to 776 of the family's 1533-position model. The record is from RNAcentral.
UACGUAGGGCGCAAGCGUUGUCCGGAAUUAUUGGGCGUAAAGAGCUCGUAGGCGGCUUGUCACGUCGGAUGUGAAAGCCCGAGGCUUAACCUCGGGUCUGCAUUCGAUACGGGCUAGCUAGAGUGUGGUAGGGGAGAUCGGAAUUCCUGGUGUAGCGGUGAAAUGCGCAGAUAUCAGGAGGAACACCGGUGGCGAAGGCGGGUCUCUGGGCCAUUACUGACGCUGAGGAGCGAAAGCGUGGGGAGCGAACAGG